RNAcentral lists this ribosomal RNA (703 nucleotides) under Bacillus sp. FJAT-4577. Its description in RNAcentral is "bacterial SSU rRNA". It matches the Rfam family "Bacterial small subunit ribosomal RNA", at positions 64 to 747 of the family's 1533-position model. The record is from RNAcentral. Lineage: Bacteria; Bacillati; Bacillota; Bacilli; Caryophanales; Bacillaceae.
GAGCGAAUGGAUUGAGAGCUUGCUCUCAAGAAGUUAGCGGCGGACGGGUGAGUAACACGUGGGUAACCUGCCCAUAAGACUGGGAUAACUCCGGGAAACCGGGGCUAAUACCGGAUAACAUUUUGAACUGCAUGGUUCGAAAUUGAAAGGCGGCUUCGGCUGUCACUUAUGGAUGGACCCGCGUCGCAUUAGCUAGUUGGUGAGGUAACGGCUCACCAAGGCAACGAUGCGUAGCCGACCUGAGAGGGUGAUCGGCCACACUGGGACUGAGACACGGCCCAGACUCCUACGGGAGGCAGCAGUAGGGAAUCUUCCGCAAUGGACGAAAGUCUGACGGAGCAACGCCGCGUGAGUGAUGAAGGCUUUCGGGUCGUAAAACUCUGUUGUUAGGGAAGAACAAGUGCUAGUUGAAUAAGCUGGCACCUUGACGGUACCUAACCAGAAAGCCACGGCUAACUACGUGCCAGCAGCCGCGGUAAUACGUAGGUGGCAAGCGUUAUCCGGAAUUAUUGGGCGUAAAGCGCGCGCAGGUGGUUUCUUAAGUCUGAUGUGAAAGCCCACGGCUCAACCGUGGAGGGUCAUUGGAAACUGGGAGACUUGAGUGCAGAAGAGGAAAGUGGAAUUCCAUGUGUAGCGGUGAAAUGCGUAGAGAUAUGGAGGAACACCAGUGGCGAAGGCGACUUUCUGGUCUGUAACUGACACU